Molecule: ribosomal RNA, 492 nt
Filed under: uncultured bacterium
Lineage: Bacteria
Description: partial 16S ribosomal RNA
Rfam family: Bacterial small subunit ribosomal RNA
Source: RNAcentral
GACGAACGCUGGCGGCGUGCUUAACACAUGCAAGUCGAACGGAAAGGCCCCCACUUUUUUGGUGGGGGUGCUCGAGUGGCGAACGGGUGAGUAACACGUGGGUGAUCUGCCCUGUACUUCGGGAUAAGCUUGGGAAACUGGGUCUAAUACCGGAUAGGACCAUGGUUUAGUGUCUCAUGGUGGAAAAAUUAUUGUUUUGGUGCAGGAUGAGCUCGCGGCCUAUCAGCUUGUUGGUGGGGUAAUGGCCUACCAAGGCGUCGACGGGUAGCCGGCCUGAGAGGGUGGACGGCCACAUUGGGACUGAGAUACGGCCCAGACUCCUACGGGAGGCAGCAGUAGGGAAUAUUGCACAAUGGGCGCAAGCCUGAGGCAGCGACGCCGCGUGGGGGAUGACGGCCUUCGGGUUGUAAACUCCUUUCGUUAGGGACGAAGCCGCACCUUUUUUGGGUGUGGUGACGGUACCUUUGUGAAGAAGCACCGGCUAACUACGUG